Oxyura jamaicensis (ruddy duck) is the source of this 2355-nucleotide long non-coding RNA. RefSeq lists it as uncharacterized. The record is from RefSeq and is a predicted model, not a curated record. The transcript is spliced from 3 exons. Lineage: Eukaryota; Metazoa; Chordata; Aves; Anseriformes; Anatidae.
GCCUUGCUGCAGAACAAUACUGUGUGUCCUUUACUGUUUGCUUCACAGAGAAUUCUGACAUUUCAGAAGACUCCACCUAUUAAAUUUGGCGUGGAAUAAUCACACAGGGAAGAUUAAACACACAGGCAGCACCAGAAGAAAGGUCAGCUGGUGGUCAGCAUCGUGCUUCACUUAUUUGUCAGCACAGAGCUGAAUGUUUCCAGAAAGUGGACAUUUGUACCCUGAGGAGCAUUGUUAAGGAGUUUCCACGGAAAACAAGUGUCAAAAGCAUGAAGAAAUACAUGCAGGAGACAGAAAAGGAUAAGAAACAAAGGAAUCUGAAGUCAGGCUCAGUGGUGACAUAGCUACAUCUCCAGCUGUGUGAUGACAGAUGGGUAAGCUGGCGUCUCUGCAGAGGUUAUACAGAUCAGGCUAGAAAAAGGCAACUUUCCAACCUUACCUUUUGUGCUGCAUGGAAACCUGUUAAAUACCAGACCCAUAAAAACCUAAUGAUAAUGGAAAACUGGAAUUACAGGCAUAAAGUCAUUUGGCAGAACAUUGCUUUCAAGAACAGUAAUACCAGGAGCGGUGAUAUCUCUGACUGCGGGUUGUUGGAUUGCAACAUUUUCCCUGUUCCGGUUAGUCCUGAUAGGAACUGUAAAAGGAGGUGGAUGAAACCUGGUGACUUUGCCCUGCUGGACUCAUUUCACUUAAUGAUUAUUGCUCAAUGUGAUCAGAGAGAAAACAUAAACGGAACUUUCUUCACUCAGGGGAAAUGAAACUUCAGAUACAUAGGAUAAUUUAAAGCACCUGUAGGUACUCUUCUGCAUAAUUGUAAGCUUUCAGCUGGUGAAAACUGGAGACCUCUAGCACACUUUUGCUAGCUAAACACAGUGGAUUUGCCUGAGCUGGUACCGUUUCCCAAGGUUUAUUUUUCAUUACUCUGCAGUAAUGGUGCCGAUGCCUCAUUUGCAGCUGCUCCCGAAGAGCCCAGCUGCCCGGCUGGAUGCAGGGAGGAUGCUGCGGCCAGCUGCCUUCCUCCUCAGCUGUGAGCACCGGACGUCUUCCAUGCUGGAAGCACUGCUUGCUCACUGGUCUCUUCAAGUAUUUCAGGGAAGCAAGCCUAGCGAUAAGGCCGAGCAGAUAAAGGACAGUAGCUCUGUGUUCUUCUGUCCUUCCCUGAUUAAUUUAUUGGUCCUGGGGAAAGCACCAAGCAGGAAUGUUUUGUCCUCACCUGCCUGCACUGCAGUGACCUCACCUUCCUGCCUGCUGGGAAGGGUAUAUGGUAAGAUCCCAUUUAUGUCUGGCUUUUUUUUUUUUUUUUUUUUUUCCCAUUUAGCAGACUGUAGAUAAGGUCCUAACAUGCCAAUACCUUUGUCACCUAAUUUCUUCCUUUCCAAACAGCAAAGUCCCCUCAGCUGCUGCCAGGGGUAUAGUAUUUCCAGAGGGUUCCCAACGCUGCCAAGCCUGCAGCGACUUCAGUGUUGUAGGAACAGCCAAGGAAAUAAAUAUCAGGGACAGGAACCUGCUUCGGUAGUGCAAGUGCUGGCUCGCGACAGCGUGUUUAUGCAUUAAAAGCCCUGCCUGCACAAACGCUGCUGACACUGAGGUGAACGGCUGCCUCGUGUGGUGCCUGGCCUAGGUGGGCUGCAGAAAGCACACCAGGUGAAGCCGCAGCGAGCAGCCGAGUGCCAAGCUGACCCCGCAUCCAGCCGUUUCGCUGCUGCCAGUCUGCAGAGCAGCCGAGAGGCUUGUGAGGCUGAAGGCUAGGUGCUUUGUUCAAAUAUAUCACCGCUUCCUGCAAGCCUAGAUGAGAAAACGCCCUCAUUGUUCUAUCAAGAUCAAGGAGAUUUGGCACUCAGGCAAGAGCUGCUGAGAGAAACUAGAAGUGACGGUGGAAUUCCCCAGCCCCGUUUGUGGUAAACAACCUCUCCUUUGCCCGGGCCUGGCACGGCUGGGGGAGAGGCUUGUGCUGCUGCUGCCAGGUCCUGCAGGCAGCAGAGCUCAGCACUGCUGGUCUCCAGCGUUUGCUGCUGUUGUUGCUUUUUAAACUUCCCUUCUUCCCAUGCCGUGACGAUCCCAGGAUCCCAAGACAGACAGCGAUGUUACUCACGGGAAGGAUUAGGUAUUAACAGGAAAAGCACCUUCUGUCUUAACUUGUUUUUCAUCUGGAAAACUAAGAAAAAAUUGUUACAGAUCCUGGUACACAUUAGCUUUUAAUGAUUUCUGUGCCUCACCUUGUUUAGAAAGACAGUUUUGCUCCCAGUUGCAGCUCUGGACGCUGAGUUACACUGGGUCAAGCCGAGGUAGAUGCCUGCAAGUGGAGUCCUGCCAACACAGAAUUGGAGCUGAGUUAACCCAGUUGCCCUUCAUUGA